Long non-coding RNA from Lutra lutra (Eurasian river otter), 232 nucleotides. RefSeq lists it as uncharacterized. The transcript is spliced from 3 exons. The record is from RefSeq and is a predicted model, not a curated record. Lineage: Eukaryota; Metazoa; Chordata; Mammalia; Carnivora; Mustelidae.
AGAUGAUCAAGACGUGAAGCACAGCCCACACUUGGCAAAUGGGAUCCCUGGGGUGCGCUCCUGAGAGUGCUUAGAGCGGUGAAUGGAUGCUGGGUCAUCAUGGAGGUUGUUGCGAGGAGAAAGAUUUGCAAUGAGGAAAUAUAUGAUAAUUAUCCAGGGAAAUGGCAUGAUUAUAAGCAGCCUCCAGCCUGGAGUCAACAUCCUGUGAACAAGUGUUCCAAAGACCCAAUAG